RNAcentral lists this ribosomal RNA (327 nucleotides) under uncultured eukaryote. RNAcentral describes it as "partial 18S ribosomal RNA". It matches the Rfam family "Eukaryotic small subunit ribosomal RNA", at positions 1470 to 1796 of the family's 1831-position model. The record is from RNAcentral.
CCCUUAGAUGUUCUGGGCUGCACGCGCGCUACACUGAUGCGCUCAACGAGUUUACGACCUUGCCCGGAAGGGUUGGGUAAUCUUUUUAAAACGCAUCGUGAUGGGGAUAGAUUAUUGCAAUUAUUAAUCUUUAACGAGGAAUUCCUAGUAAGCGCGAGUCAUCAGCUCGUGCUGAUUACGUCCCUGCCCUUUGUACACACCGCCCGUCGCACCUACCGAUUGAAUGUUUCGGUGAAGAUUCCGGACCGUGGCGAGCGCGCUUCACGGCGCUCUUGCCGUGGGAAGUUAUCUAAACCUCAACAUUUAGAGGAAGGUGAAGUCGUAACA